This is a non-coding RNA of Schistosoma rodhaini, 44 nucleotides long. Lineage: Eukaryota; Metazoa; Platyhelminthes; Trematoda; Strigeidida; Schistosomatidae. The record is from Rfam.
AUCCUCUGACAAGUCUCAAAUAGGACGAAGCGCGCGUCCUGGAU